Molecule: ribosomal RNA, 398 nt
Filed under: uncultured bacterium
Lineage: Bacteria
Description: bacterial SSU rRNA
Rfam family: Bacterial small subunit ribosomal RNA
Source: RNAcentral
GGAAUAUUGGACAAUGGGCGCAAGCCUGAUCCAGCCAUGCCGCGUGAGUGAUGAAGGCCCUAGGGUUGUAAAGCUCUUUCAGCGGGGAAGAUAAUGACGGUACCCGCAGAAGCAGCCCCGGCUAACUUCGUGCCAGCAGCCGCGGUAAUACGAAGGGGGCUAGCGUUGUUCGGAAUUACUGGGCGUAAAGCGCACGUAGGCGGCUUUGUAAGUUAGAGGUGAAAGCCCAGGGCUCAACCCUGGAAUUGCCUUUAAGACUGCAUCGCUUGAACAUCGGAGAGGUAAGUGGAAUUCCGAGUGUAGAGGUGAAAUUCGUAGAUAUUCGGAAGAACACCAGUGGCGAAGGCGACUUACUGGACGAUUGUUGACGCUGAGGUGCGAAAGCGUGGGGAGCAAAC